CAAUCUGCCCUUAAGUUCGGGAUAGCCUCGGGAAACCGUGAUUAAUACCGAAUGUGGUCGUACAUCGCAUGGUGUACUAUCUAAAGAUGGGGAUCCUUCGGGACCUGUCGCUUGAGGAUGAGCCCGCGACCCAUCAGCUUGUUGGUAGGGUAAUGGCUUACCAAGGCAAUAACGGGUAGCUGGUCUGAGAGGAUGGUCAGCAACACUGGGACUGAGACACUGCCCAG
RNAcentral lists this ribosomal RNA (227 nucleotides) under uncultured bacterium. RNAcentral's name for it is "partial 16S ribosomal RNA". It matches the Rfam family "Bacterial small subunit ribosomal RNA", at positions 122 to 334 of the family's 1533-position model. The record is from RNAcentral.